CUACGUGGGAGCCACCCUGUAAGAUGGGCUGGCUUACCCUGUAGCUACCCUGUAGCUCCUUAAAGUCAGUGGCGGAGACACGGAGUCCUCUGAGCGUAGUAAAUCUUUCUCGCUUUUGUAGGUUCUGUGGCUUUUGCCGUUAAACCCCCAAACUUUUAAUGGUUGACCUCGGAUCAGGUAGGAAUACCCGCUGAACUUAA
This 200-nucleotide unclassified non-coding RNA is filed under the name soil metagenome. Its description in RNAcentral is "partial contains internal transcribed spacer 2 and large subunit ribosomal RNA". The record is from RNAcentral.